CCUACGGAGGCAGCAGUGGGGAAUAUUGGGCCAUGGGCGCAAGCCUGACCCAGCAACGCCGCGUGAAGGGAGAAGGCCCUCGGGUUGUAAACUUCUCUUAAGAGGGGAGAGCAGAAGACGGUACCUCUUGAAUAAGCCACGGCUAACUACGGGACAGCAGCCGCGGUAAUACGUAGGUGGCAAGCGUUGUCCGGAUUUACUAGGUGUAAAGGGCGUGCAGCGGGGAAGACAAGUCAGAUGUGAAAUCCCGCGGCCUAACCGCGGAACUGCAUUUGAAACUGUUUGUCUUGAGUACCGGAGAGGUCAGCGGAAUGCGUGGUGUAGCGGUGAAAUGCGUAGAUAUAAGGAAGAACACCAGUGGCGAAGGCGGAUGACUGGACGGCAACUGACGGUGAGGCGCGAAAGCGUGGGGAGCGAACAGGAUUAGAUACCCGAGUAGUC
This 441-nucleotide ribosomal RNA is filed under the name uncultured bacterium. RNAcentral's name for it is "partial 16S ribosomal RNA". It matches the Rfam family "Bacterial small subunit ribosomal RNA", at positions 338 to 795 of the family's 1533-position model. The record is from RNAcentral.